GCUGGAGUAGCUCAGAGGUAGAGCGGCACGUUGAAGGCGUGCGCGUCGGCGGCUCAAAACCGUCCUCCAGCGCCA
Molecule: transfer RNA, 75 nt
Filed under: Chloroflexota bacterium
Lineage: Bacteria; Bacillati; Chloroflexota
Also listed under: 1 other name
Description: Chloroflexi bacterium tRNA-Phe
Rfam family: tRNA
About the family: Transfer RNA (tRNA) molecules are approximately 80 nucleotides in length. Their secondary structure includes four short double-helical elements and three loops (D, anti-codon, and T loops).
Source: RNAcentral